CUGAUCUUUGCACAAAGCUUCACAACUUAUUCGCAAAUAUGUCAUAUCAGAGAUAACUUCCUGUCACCAGCAGGUGAUGCUACCAGAAAAGAGCGUACGAGGUGGGGACUGAAGACGGAGUCAUAAUGAAGGGAUUAUGUAGUAAGUGGAGGAAGAAGAAGCACGAAAGUCUUACUGUUGACUCCUGACUGGCUGAAGCUGGGGGAGAUCAAGUGAGUAUCACCUGUGCCUUUUAAAUGGAGGAAAUACAAAUGCAUAUCUUUCAGGUGAGAAACUGUUUAGAAUUCAGCAAUGUGCAAGAGAUAUUCACAGAUUGUAAUUAAUCAUCAAUCAAGCUACCUUAAAUUGCUAUAAUCAAUAGAAUUUAGAGUCUUAUGUCUCCUGUACUAUGAUUUAUUUUUUAUUUUUUUCACUGAUGUAUGCCAAAUCUUAUGAGAUAUAUUACUUUAAAAGCUUUCUUUCUAAAGUAACAUCUCAUAGAUAUUGACAGAAUCUGGUUUCCAGCUUUGUGGUCUGUUGCUUUUCAUUUUGUUGCAGGUCUGACAGUUUUUGACCAUGUCACAAAAUUAGCAGAUAUCGCUGAGUGUUACUUGCCUCCUGCUAAUCUGCUCACCCGCGCCCCUGUAUAACUGCCAUAAAACAAGAGCGAGGUUGCAGUCAUGGAUCUGCAGGCCCACAAAGGAAGAACCAGCAGCUCUGAUGCACAGCAGCCAAUUCUACCAUCAGCCUGCCAAUCUCUGGAGCACUGGUCCUCACCAUCUUUUCUUUCCACUCGUGAAAUACAGAGUGUAUCAUCAUUGGUUUCCGCUACAGUCUUCACACUUAAGCCUUAUUACAAUCCUGCAACCAAUGAAAACACAGAUCCAGUGCCUGAGCUUCAACUUCCAGGAACUUCAUCUCUCUUUGAGGCCCAAGAUCAAAAAACACCACCUUCUCUGUGUUGGGAUAAUGAUCAGGAAGUCCAGCAGAGAAACCCAUCAGAUGACCUGCUGGAGGACAGGUCAAUAGGUCUCAUAUUCCCCAAAAACCUCUCGGAAGGAGAACCAGAUCCAGAGUCCCGAACCUUUUCAUCCCGUGAACUCCUACUGUUG
This 1091-nucleotide long non-coding RNA is filed under the name Takifugu rubripes (torafugu). RNAcentral describes it as "lncRNA (ENSTRUG00000030781.1)". The record is from RNAcentral. Lineage: Eukaryota; Metazoa; Chordata; Actinopteri; Tetraodontiformes; Tetraodontidae.